This 405-nucleotide unclassified non-coding RNA is filed under the name soil metagenome. RNAcentral's name for it is "partial contains 5.8S ribosomal RNA, internal transcribed spacer 2, and large subunit ribosomal RNA". The stretch from base 1 to 121 matches the Rfam family "5.8S ribosomal RNA", at positions 35 to 154 of the family's 154-position model. The record is from RNAcentral.
GAUGAAGAACGCAGUGAAAUGCGAUAAGCAAUGUGAAUUGCAGAAUCUCGUGAAUCAUCGAAUCUUUGAACGCACCUUGCGCCCUUUGGACAUUCCGAAGGGCAUGCCUGUUUGAGUAUCAUGAACACCUCAACUCUCACGGCUUGUCCGUGAUGAGCUUGGACUUUGGGGGUCUUGCCGGCCUGUGGUCGGCUCCUCUCAAAUGGAUCAGCUUGCCAGUGUUUGGUGGCAUCACAGGUGUGAUAACUAUCUGCGCUUGUGGUUUUCCAUCAGAUAACCUUCAGUGAUAUGGAGGUUCGCUGGAGCUCACAAAUGUCUCUCCUUAGUGAGGACAGCUCUUUGAACGUUUGAUCUCAAAUCAGGUAGGACUACCCGCUGAACUUAAGCAUAUCAAUAAGCGGAGGA